AGUGGCGGACGGGUGAGUAUAACGUAGGAAUCUACCUUAAAGUGUGGAAUAGCCGGCCGAAAGGCCGGGUAAUACCGCAUGUGAUCGCAAGAUUAAAGGCCAUAACUGGCCGCUUUAAGAGGAGCCUGCGUCCUAUCAGCUAGUUGGCGGGGUAAAAGCCCACCAAGGCGAUGACGGGUAGGGGGUGUGAGAGCACGACCCCCCACAAGGUCACUGAGACACGGGACCUACACCUACGGGUGGCAGCAACUGGGAAUCUUGCGCAAUGGACGAAAGUCUGACGCAGCGACACCGCGUGUGGGAUGAAGUAUUUCGGUAUGUAAACCACUGUGGCGAGGGAUAAAGAUCUGAUAGUACCUCGCUAGAAAGCAUCUGCUAACUACGUGCCAGAAGCCUCGGCAAUGCGUGGGAUGCAAGCGUUAUCCGGAUUUACUGGGCGUAAAGGGUUUCGCAGGCGGAUUGUUAAGUCUAGUCUUAAAUACUGGGGCUCAACCCCAGCUACAGGAUUGGAUACUGGCAGUCUUGAGGAUAUCAGGGGGAACUGGAACACUCGGUGGAGGGGUGAAAUCCGUUGAGAUCGAGUGGAACGCCAAUGGCGAAGGCAGGUUCCUGGGGUAUUCCUGACGCUCAGGUACGAAAGCUAGGGUAGCAAACGGGAUUAGAGACCCCGGUAGUCCUAGCCGUAAACAAUGAAUACUAG
RNAcentral lists this ribosomal RNA (700 nucleotides) under uncultured bacterium. RNAcentral describes it as "bacterial SSU rRNA". It matches the Rfam family "Bacterial small subunit ribosomal RNA", at positions 94 to 819 of the family's 1533-position model. The record is from RNAcentral.